This 468-nucleotide ribosomal RNA is filed under the name uncultured bacterium. RNAcentral's name for it is "partial 16S ribosomal RNA". It matches the Rfam family "Bacterial small subunit ribosomal RNA", at positions 28 to 507 of the family's 1533-position model. The record is from RNAcentral.
GACGAACGCUGGCGGCGUGCUUAACACAUGCAAGUCGAACGGUAAGGCCCUGCUUUGGUGGGUGGCGCGAGUGGCGAACGUGUGACUAACACGGGAGUAACCUGCGCUUUACUUUGUGAAAACAUCAGGAAACAGGGGCUAAGACCUGAGAGGAGCUGCGGCGGCAUGGUGGGGGUUGGAAAGUUGCGGCGGUUGGGGAUGGACUCGGGGCUUAUGAGCGUGUUGGUGGGGUAGUGGCUUACCAAGGCUUUGACGGGUAGCCGGCCUGAGAGCGUGGCCGGCCACAUUGCGCCUGAGGGACGGACCAGAGUCCAACGGUGGGCAGCAGUGGCAAGUAUUGCACAAUGGGGCGGAGCCCGAUGAAGAAACGCCGGGUUUGGGAUGCCGGCCUUUCGGUUGAAAACAGGUUCCGCCUAUGACGAAGCGUGCGUGACGGUAAUGGAUAAAGAAGCACCGGCUAACUACGUG